This 1977-nucleotide ribosomal RNA is filed under the name human gut metagenome. Its description in RNAcentral is "bacterial LSU rRNA". It matches the Rfam family "Bacterial large subunit ribosomal RNA", at positions 901 to 2925 of the family's 2925-position model. The record is from RNAcentral.
GGUAGAGCACUGAAUGAGGUAGGGGCCUAACCAGGUUACUGAACUCUAUCAAACUGCGAAUACCAUGUAUUAAUACUCAGGAGUCAGACUACGGGAGCUAAGUUCCGUGGUCAAAAGGGAAAGAGCCCAGACCGACAAUUAAGGUCCCAAAGAUAUAGUUAAGUGGGAAACGAUGUGAAUUUGCGUAAACAACCAGGAUGUUGGCUCAGAAGCAGCCAUUCAUUCAAAGAGUGCGUAACAGCUCACUGGUCGAGUGAAUUUGCGCGGAAAAUUACCGGGGCUAAACUAUACACCGAAAUUACGGAUUUGUAAAUGAAAAUUUAUAAGUGGUAGAGGAGCAUUCUGUGGUAGGGCGAAGCUAAAGCGAGAGCAUUAGUGGACGAAGCAGAAGAGAGAAUGCUGGAAUAAGUAGCGAGAGCGAGGUGAGAAUCCUUGCCGUCGAAAGUCUAAGGUUUCCUGGGGAAGGUUCGUCCGCCCAGGGUAAGUCGGGACCUAAGGAGAGGCCGAAAGGCGUAUCUGAUGGAUAGCAGGUGGAAAUUCCUGCACUAUAGCCAUACUUAAAAGAUGCAAGGGACGCAGGAGAGGAAGAUAACCGAGGAAGAGGAAAAACUCGGAUCGAAAGAUGGAGUGAAAAUAUAAGUAACGAAGUAUCAAGAAUCACACUGACGAGAAAAGCUUGUAGAGAUUGUAUGGAAAUACCCGUACCGCAAACCGACACAGGUAGAUGAGGAGAGGAUCCUAAGACGAACGGGAGAAGCAUUGUUAAGGAACUCGGCAAAAUAACCCCGUAACUUCGGGAGAAGGGGAGCCUAUGUAAAAGUAGGCCGCAGUGAAAAGGCCCAAGCAACUGUUUAACAAAAACACAGGUUUCUGCUAAAUCGAAAGAUGAAGUAUAGGAGCUGACGCCUGCCCAGUGCUGGAAGGUUAAGGGGAAAUGUUAGGAGCAAUCCGAAGCAUAGAACUGAAGCCCCAGUGAACGGCGGCCGUAACUAUAACGGUCCUAAGGUAGCGAAAUUCCUUGUCAGGUAAGUUCUGACCCGCACGAAAGGCGUAAUGAUUUGGGCACUGUCUCGACAAUGUACCCGGCGAAAUUGUAGUACUAGUGAAGAUGCUAGUUACCUGCGACAAGACAGAAAGACCCCAUGGAGCUUUACUGCAGUUUGAUACUGGGUUUUGAUAAACUAUGUACAGGAUAGGUGGGAGACGAAGAAAGCAAGGCGUCAGCUUUGCUGGAGUCACCGUUGGGAUACCACUCUUAGUUUGUUGAAAUUCUAACUAGUGGUCAUGACCUGGCCAGAGGACAAUGUCAGACGGGCAGUUUGACUGGGGCGGUCGCCUCCAAAAGAGUAACGGAGGCGCCCAAAGGUUUCCUCAGCGCGGACAGAAAUCGCGCGAAAGAGUGUAAAGGCAGAAGGAAGCUUAACUGGAAGACAGACAUGUCGAGCAGAUACGAAAGUAGGGCUUAGUGAUCCGGUGGAAUUGAAUGGAAAAGCCAUCGCUCAACGGACAAAAGUUACCCUGGGGAUAACAGGCUUAUCUCCCCCAAGAGUUCACAUCGACGGGGAGGUUUGGCACCUCGAUGUCGGCUCAUCGCAUCCUGGAGCUGAAGUCGGUUCCAAGGGUUGGGCUGUUCGCCCAUUAAAGCGGUACGCGAGCUGGGUUCAGAACGUCGUGAGACAGUUCGGUCCUUAUCUGUCGCAGGCGCAAGAUAUUUGAAGGGAGCUGUCCUUAGUACGAGAGGACCAGGAUGGACAUAUAGAGGGUGAAUCAGUUGUUACACCAGUAGCAUAGCUGAGAAGCCAAGUAUGGAAGGGAUAAACGCUGAAAGCAUCUAAGUGUGAAGCCCACCCUAAGAUAAGAUAUCUCAUACCGUCAAGGUAGUAAGAUUCCAUGAAGACUACAUGGUAGAUAGGUUGGAGGUGUAAGUAUAGUAAUAUAUUGAGCUAACCAAUACUAAUAAAUCGAGGGCUUAACCAC